Molecule: signal recognition particle RNA, 283 nt
Filed under: Cebus imitator (Panamanian white-faced capuchin)
Lineage: Eukaryota; Metazoa; Chordata; Mammalia; Primates; Cebidae
Description: Metazoan signal recognition particle RNA (ENSCCAG00000010043.1)
Rfam family: Metazoan signal recognition particle RNA
About the family: The signal recognition particle (SRP) is a universally conserved ribonucleoprotein. It is involved in the co-translational targeting of proteins to membranes.
Source: RNAcentral
GCCAGGUAUGGUGGUGCGUGCCUGUAGUCCCAGCUACUCGGGAGGCUGAGGUGGGAGGAUCGCUUGAGCCCAGGAGUUCUGGGCUGUAGUGCACAAUGCCGAUCGGGUGUCCGCACUAAGUUCGGCAUCGAUGUGGUGACCUCCGGGAAGCUAGGCACCACCAAGUUGCCUAAGGAGGGGUGAGCGGGCCGAGUCAGAAACUCCUGUGCUGAUGGGUAGUGGGAUCACACCUGUGAACAGCCACUGCACUCCAGCCUGAGCAACACAGAGAGACCCUGUCUCU